AUUGAACGCUGGCGGCAGGCCUAACACAUGCAAGUCGAGCGGAUGAAGGGAACUUGCUCCUGGUUUCAGCGGCGGACGGGUGAGUAAUGCCUAGGAAUCUGCCUGGUAGUGGGGGAUAACGUCCGGAAACGGGCGCUAAUACCGCAUACGUCCUGAGGGAGAAAGGGGGGGAUCUUCGGACCUCACGCUAUCAGAUGAGCCUAGGUCGGAUUAGCUAGUUGGUGGGGUAAAGGCCUACCAAGGCGACGAUCCGUAACUGGUCUGAGAGGAUGAUCAGUCACACUGGAACUGAGACACGGUCCAGACUCCUACGGGAGGCAGCAGUGGGGAAUAUUGGACAAUGGGCGAAAGCCUGAUCCAGCCAUGCCGCGUGUGUGAAGAAGGUCUUCGGAUUGUAAAGCACUUUUAUUUGGGAAGAAGAGCAGUAAGUUAAUACCUUGCUGUUUUGACGUUACCAACAGAAUAAGCACCGGCUAACUUCGUG
This 484-nucleotide ribosomal RNA is filed under the name uncultured bacterium. RNAcentral describes it as "partial 16S ribosomal RNA". It matches the Rfam family "Bacterial small subunit ribosomal RNA", at positions 30 to 507 of the family's 1533-position model. The record is from RNAcentral.